Molecule: ribosomal RNA, 444 nt
Filed under: uncultured bacterium
Lineage: Bacteria
Description: partial 16S ribosomal RNA
Rfam family: Bacterial small subunit ribosomal RNA
Source: RNAcentral
CCUACGGGAGGCAGCAGUGGGGGAUAUUGGACAAUGGGGGGGAACCCUGAUCCAGCGACGCCGCGUGAGUGAAGAAGUAUUUCGGUAUGUAAAGCUCUGUCAGCAGGGAAGAAAGCAAUGACGGUACCUGACCAAGAAGCCCCGGCUAACUACGUGCCAGCAGCCGCGGUAAUACGUAGGGGGCAAGCGUUAUCCGGAUUUACUGGGUGUAAAGGGAGCGUAGACGGCAGCGCAAGUCUGAAGUGAAAUCCCAUGGCUUAACCAUGGAACUGCUUUGGAAACUGUGCAGCUGGAGUGCAGGAGAGGUAAGCGGAAUUCCUAGUGUAGCGGUGAAAUGCGUAGAUAUUAGGAGGAACACCAGUGGCGAAGGCGGCUUACUGGACUGUAACUGACGUUGAGGCUCGAAAGCGUGGGGAGCAAACAGGAUUAGAUACCCCAGUAGUC